GAUGAACGCUGGCGGCGUGCUUAACACAUGCCAGUCGAACGGUGAAGGCGGAGCUUGCUCUGCUGGAUCAGUGGCGAACGGGUGAGUAACACGUGAGCAAUCUGCCCCUGACUCUGGGAUAAGCGCUGGAAACGGCGUCUAAUACUGGAUACGAGCUGCGAAGGCAUCUUCAGCAGCUGGAAAGAAUUUCGGUCAGGGAUGAGCUCGCGGCCUAUCAGCUUGUUGGUGAGGUAAUGGCUCACCAAGGCGUCGACGGGUAGCCGGCCUGAGAGGGUGACCGGCCACACUGGGACUGAGACACGGCCCAGACUCCUACGGGAGGCAGCAGUGGGGAAUAUUGCACAAUGGGCGAAAGCCUGAUGCAGCAACGCCGCGUGAGGGACGACGGCCUUCGGGUUGUAAACCUCUUUUAGCAGGGAAGAAGCGAAAGUGACGGUACCUGCAGAAAAAGCGCCGGCUAACUACGU
This 467-nucleotide ribosomal RNA is filed under the name uncultured bacterium. RNAcentral describes it as "partial 16S ribosomal RNA". It matches the Rfam family "Bacterial small subunit ribosomal RNA", at positions 28 to 506 of the family's 1533-position model. The record is from RNAcentral.